CGACAUGUGGGGAUUCUAGGGGUUACAGUUUGAGAUGAGAUUUGGGUGGGGACACAGAGCCAAACCAUAUCAGCUUCAGUAUCCAGUAAGGGCAUGCACAAUCUGCCUAUUCUUAGGUGACCAAUAUGUAGCUAGUUCCACCUGUGGCCUCUGACCCCUGGACACCCUGGCAACCACUGCUCUUAUUGAGAUUCUGGAGCCUUGGCCUUCAUCCUAGUCUAACGGGUUGGUGCCUGCUAUUCCUCUGCAGAAGGGGUAGUGGGCUGAACUUGAGGCUCCUUAGCGAUCCACUGUUCUGGCUUGAGCUUCUGCCCCAGUCUGACCAGAAAAGCAUUAGGCUGUUUAUCUAUUUUCUCAGCAGGUGUCCCUGCCACUACCAGGUCAUAACACAUUUGUUGCCAGACCACCCUGGUGGAUCCUUUAGCUGUCUCCUUUCCUUUGGCUCCUUUGUCUUUCUUGCUGGCAGCGCAUACCCUGUGCCUAUGCAGUUUCUCCAUUUCCCCUAAGUUGGGGGCUGCUUGGGCUGCCCAAGACACUGGCUGUCCUACCAGGGCACUUAGGAUAGACACUGGUGAACUAUACUAUUGGUUGGGUGCCAACUAAGAUAGUGUCUUUCAUGCUGGCAGUGAAAAGCUCAUUGGAGCUUGGUAAUGCCCAGCAUAGAUAGCAUGCUUCAUCUCUAAUUCUUGGGGGAUGUCCUGCAAUUCCUCCAUAGUCUGUAAUUACAAAGGAGAUGUGAGGAUGUUGCUCUCAUUUAGCCAGGCUUCCUUGCAGCCCACAGCCACUCAGCUAAGAGGGGGAUGGCUGGUCCUCAUUAUUGGCAUCAUAGAGGUGCUUCCUCAGGGCCAGGUGGUUUGUGAUGGAUGCCAUUUUAACUCAUCUUGAGUCUGGAGAGUAUAAUACUCUCCGCCCCCAUGUCCCAUAGAUGGAGAAGCCACCACAAUAGACUCUCUUCCCUUCUUCCUGAACCUAUUUCGCAGCUCCACUAAUUCCACGGGCGUGCAGUACUGCAUUGUAGUGUGCUGCCGUCUUUUAGAUGCGGGCAAGUCUUAUGGGGUUACCCCCUGUAAGUGCAGCUGAUCAGCUUUUAUCUUGAUGGUGACUACUGGAUGUGCAGCUAGGACAGGAACCUUUAUGGGCUCAUCUCACCCCUCUCUUUUCUCCCCACUGAUAGCACAUCAUGGGGGUCCCAGGUAUCUUGGGGUCCCAGGAUGAUUUAGUCAUAAUAGCCCUAACUCAUUGCUGUGGGGGUCAGCAACCCUUCAAACAGGCUACCCAACAAGCCAGGGUCUCCAUUUUGUCAUCCCGUGUCCAUAGGUGAGACAGCAAGGUCUCUGAUGUUUCAGCCUGAGCUAAUCUGGCAUCUCUUUCUAGUCAUAGCUCAUCUUGUAACUGACCAAUCCCCACCUAUGCUGCAAGCUCAGCUUCAGUGACUGCUCAGAGUGCAGUCAGAAACAGCCAGUGAACCACAGUUGCCACUACUCAGGCAUCUGACCCUUGCUCAGUCAGUUUCAACCCCUGUAACAGCUCUUUCUGAACCUUCAGUGUUUUCAGGGCAUCCCUGUACUCAUGCGGUGGGAACCAACCAUCAAGGACAGCAGCUGUUGUCCUUGAUGGAUGGAAAGCAGGCAGAGACAGAGACCCACAUAGACAUGGAUGGCCAGCCCAGGAUUUGCCCCAUGGAUUUCCCCUUCCCCAAUCCCAUCAUCUUGAUGCUCAUAGGAUUUUCUUUGAUGCCCUAGUUGUCAUGUCAAUUGUUAUGCCAAACCCCUAUUGACUUCAAAUAGGGAUGGCACCAUGGUCAAGAGGACCCAGUGUUUAUUGAGGGGACUUACAUACAGGGGACUCCAGUGGCAGUGAGCUGGACAGGAGAACUGCUACCGCUUGUAAAAAACAUGCAAGUUUAUAUGGCAUUUUCACUUAGCAUCCUCUCCCUAGCAAAACCUCUACAAAAACCUCUACCUGGCAACCUUCAUUUAACCCAAAAAGGGGACUUGAUCCCUUGUACAGACUGAAUUCCAUGGGAUCAACCGAGGUCUGGUAUUCCCCGUAAAUAAGAAAUGAGUCUCUGGGUUGGCCACUUCCAGAUUUCUCUGCUUGGAAUUGCAAACACACAUUCUUUUUAUACCAUAGGGCCAUUCUUAGGGUUAACCUAUUGCUUUCAGGAGCAUCUGCUGUACAAUGAAAGAAUGCUGGAGGUAGGGACUAAAAGGAGGAUUAGGAAUCAAUAGAUAAGGAGAAAGGGGACAGAGAGAGGGAAGAACAUGAUCUGUUUCAGUGGUCACCAAACUAUAGCCUGUGUGCCAAACUCAACUCACUGCUUAUGUAUGUACAUCAAGUUUAUUGGAACAGACUUGCCUAUUGGUUUAGUAUUCAUCCUCUGUGGCUGCUUUUGCACUAGAAUGGCAGAAUUGAGUAGUUGCAACAAUAGGUUGGCAAAGCCUAAGAUAUUUGCUCUCUGAUCUGUUAUAGACAAAGUGUGCUAACCCUUGGUCGGUUUCAUCUUCUUCAUUUCUCUUACUGAGGUCAAAGAACAUACAUAAUGUCUAAGGGAAAAGAAUAGGAAGAUGAGGUAAAAUAGAAAAGAGCAAAAGUUUCUAGGGGUUACCACAGCCCAGGGUGAUCUAGAGAAUAGACAGGUGAGGUGAAGUUGAGUCUCUGAAAUUCCUCAAAUUUUUCUUCAAUAAAGGACCUGAGAGUAUGAAAUGGGCUGCCCAUGUGGAUGUUGAAAUCAUGUAGGAUACUGAUGGUUUUGUGGGUGGUGAGAAAGAUGGUGAACCCAACACCAAAGUCUUGGAAACAAAUGUUUGGUAAGUCUUUGGAAACCAGAAACAAGGAAGGAUGGAAGAAGAUAUGGCCUGUUAACAUAAACUGUGUUUACAGACAGAGUGAGAACUAGUAGUCCUAAGGUAUAAUUGAGGAGCAAUGAGGACAGGAACCCACUCCUAGCCCAGAGAUGAGUGGUACUCAUUGAGAGGGGCCCAGGAGAGCAAUGCCUUCAGAGAUCUAGGCUUCCUUUGGGGCAGGAAGUGAAGGAAGACUUAAGGGCAGAGAUGGAGGAUAGUAGGGAGUUUUUUUGUCUUAUUUUCUAUGGAAUGAGAAUUCUGAAACAAAAAAAAAUAGAUUUAUGAAUGAGAUACCUUCCAUGGGUUUAGGCCAGGGGAAAAAAAGGGGGCAGAGCAGUAUAGGUAUGAGAAUACAGGAAAGAAUAGAUAGCAGGGUGUGCUUCUGUAUGGAGGUGACCAAGUGUUAGAUAGCUGCAAGUAUUCUAAGGAAUUGGCACCAAGGAUUGUCUGGUGGGCACAGAGGAAUAGUCUGGUUUUAUAAAAACACUGUACUCAAAAAUGCCUGGAGGGAUUGUACCAUAUGGUAAUCCCAGCCAGCUGAGCAGGCAGGCCAUGAUAUUAGUUAAUUCCUACAAUUCUAAGUUGGUGUUACACAUUGACAACAGAUCCUGGUGGAGAAGAAACUUUGGCAUCUUCAGAGUACCUUUGGCCCUGGCAUCUGCUCAUUGGUCAAUAACUCUACCAAACACAUAGCUGCUCAAGCUGGAAAUCUUACAAUCACCUGUACCUCCAGUCUACCUUCUUCAUUUCUUUAUAUUUCAUCUUCACAUUCUCCCUGGAUUCACUGUCAUGGUGUCUUAGUAGGCCUUUCUUCUUUAGCCUAAUCUCCCAGAGGUGUUUCCUUUUGUUACUCUCCAAAAUGAAAAGUCUAUUUUUUUCUUAUCAAAGCCAUACAUGCUUCCUGUAAAAUCAACUCAGAUAACACAGAAGGUAUAAUAAAGAAUGCAAAAUUAUCACAAAUCCUACAUCCUAGAGUUACUACUAUUAACAUUUUUCUAUAUGUCUUUACAGACUUUCUCUAUGCAGAUACAUUUUUUAAAAAUGUAGUGGAACCGUAUUAUAUGAGCACUUUCUUAAAAUUUAUUAUUUUCUAACAGUGGAUUAUCAAACUCUUUCAAUAAAUAUUUAUAUCAUUUUUAAAGCCAACAGUAUUCUGGUAUAGGGCUUUAUCAUGAUUUAUUAUCCAAUUCCAUAUCACUGGAUUUGGUUUAUAUUUAUUUGCUACUAUAUGUAACAAUAUAAUGAACAUUCUUAUACUAAUGACUUUUAUAAAACAAAAAUCUGAUCAUGUCAUAGUUUCUUGCUCGAAAUUCAUCAGUGUCUCUCUAGCCUGUGACUUUUGGGAUUAAAUUCAAUCACUUAGCAUGACAGAAAAGGUCAUUUAUCAUCUGACUUGGUCUGUUUCUAGCCUGAUUUCUCAAUACACCUCCACACCUGCUACUGUGGUCAGGAGCCCUGCUUAAGUGCCCAUUAAUACCUCCAUCAUGAGGCAUUAUCAAUGUGUGUUUACAACUUCCCAGCUGCACUGUAAACUCUUUAAGGGACUAUGUAUUUUAUCUCUGAGAAUAGUUAUAUGUGGGCACUCAAUAUUUGUUUGGUUGCAAGAAAGGCAAUGAAUGCAUGCACACAUGUGUAUUUUAUUCCUUAUUUCUCAUUCUCCUUCCCUGGAGGUAUUUUAACCAGUACUGUCUUUUUUAUUAUAGAUUAUGUUUUCUUGUAAUCUUGAAUUUGCUCAUUCUUUAGUUCAUUCCAUUUAACAAAAGCAGAUCGAGCACCUACUAUAUGCCAGACACUGUUAUAGGUAUUGGAAAGCAGUGAACAAAACCUUCUGGACCUGACAUUUUAAUGGGGAGACAGACAAUAUACAAGAAUCUUCCUGGCUACUGUGUUGAAAAGAGGCUGAAGGUGAACAGUUAGGCUGUUGCAAUCAUUCAGACAGAAGUUUUUGUUGUCAGAACCAAGAUGGUGGCAGUGAGAGUGACAGUGAAUGACUGAAUUGUGGAUUCCUUUUGAAGAUGUUUGUUUAUGAUACUGACACGGGAUGCGGGAGAAAGAGCAGAAUCACAGAUAACACCAAGAGUCUCCAUCCCUCAAAACUUAAAAACAAUAAAAAUUCUAUUUACCGAGCAAUUACUUAUUUUUGCUCCAUUGGCCUAAUUUCAGACUCAUACUUAACCAAUCUUAACUAUAUUUAAUGGAAAUUGUCCCAUAAAGAACUCUGUUUUUGAAUACUUUUGUUUUUGUUUAUGUGGUGUCACUGUAACCUGUGGAGACUAUUUUGGCUAUGUGUAUCUUACAGGAACCAGUCUCAUUAUUUGAUAAGCAUAUCACAUACAAUACCCAAAUCUAGUUUUGAUAUUUGUCAUAAAAUGUCUUGGACCAUGGUGCUCUAGUAAUACAAUUUUCCUGAAUUUUGUAACUGCACUUGUUUAGCACGUGGAUCGCUUUUCAAUAAACGAGUCCAGAUGACUCUAAAUGAAUUUAUUGAUAAAGCAAGCCUGCCUUUUACUCACAAAUUUUCUAGUGACUAUAUUAAUAAUAUUAAUAGCUAUAAAUUGAAAUAAAGUACGUACAAUAAUCAUUGUUUUCUAUUUUGAUUAAAUUACUUUAAGCAAUCACAGAAUUGCAAGUUUUAAAAUACAGAGUAAUAUUAAUAGAUUUUCACUAGCAUGUAUUUUAAAAUAAUUUGGGUAUGAUUUAUUUAGAAAUACAAGAUGAAAAUCAUCUUUUUUUAAAAUUAUCUAAAUGUUAAAAUACCCUGAAAACAUUUUUUUAUUAUACUUUAAGUUUUAGGGUACAUGUGCACAACGUGCAGGUUUGUUACAUAUGUAUACAUCUUAAUUCAAGGAAUGUCACUUUAAAAAAAAAUGAAAACGUGAAAAGUCUUUUGAAGCAGCAAUCUGGUCUCUUUGGGCACUGCUAGAUACAACGGGUAUUUGUCUGCUUUCACUCACAUUCCUUAGCUGAGGAUUCAUCUCUGGGAGGCUUAGGAUGGAACAGACAGUUUAUACUUGGAUUGGUGCCCAUUCCUUUCCACGGGAUACCUUUAUAUGUGGAAGAGCUAGAGAUGUACCUAUUUUCUAGGUGUGACAGAAUGGCUUCCAGUGGAUUUUCAAAUUUUGGCUUUAAAAACAUUGUUGAGAUGCCAGUUACUGAAUUGAAAUGUCCAAGGUACCCAGCAAAGGCACCUGAGGUGGCAGAAAUCUCAGGCAUGACUAACAAAUGCCAGGCAUUUCUGAGGAACAAUAUGCAUGCUGUUCACUUCUUUAGAAUAUUUAAAAAAUGAUGAAAUAAAAAAUGAAAAUAACUCACGUGUGGAAAAUAAUACUGACAUUUUAAACUGAUGCUUAAGAGUGUGAUCUGGCAUUUCUAUGAUUUUGGACAAUGUCGGGGUGAACUUGGGUAAGCUUCUUAAUAUCUUUUUUGCUUUCUUUACACUGUAUAUUAAAUAUGAAUAAUAAUUGUUUCUACUACACAAGAUUGUUGUGAAGAUGAACAGUUUAGUUUCUAGCACACUGUAAAUUCUCAGUAGUCAUUAGUUAUUAUUGUCUAAGAAUACAAUGGAACUCUUGAGUUUACCUAUAAAUUGCAUCUUAAGAAGAAUGUGUAGAAAGAUGAGAAACAGAGAAAGAAAAUAGCUCCGGGGAAUCCUUACCCUGGCUAUUUUUAGUGGAUUGUUUUAUAUUCAUCACUGGGUGAUAUUCUUGCCAGAAGCCAGGUGGGGAGGAUGUCUAACCUUCAUAUGAGACUUUCAAAGUGUAUGACUUAUAAAAGUUUCUAUCAAUGUUAACAAAAUAUUAGACAAUUAAUAGUGGUUUGUAUUGUAACGAUUUUUAGUUCUGAAAAAUAAACAUGAUAUAGAUGAUACCAA
Molecule: long non-coding RNA, 6717 nt
Filed under: Homo sapiens (human)
Lineage: Eukaryota; Metazoa; Chordata; Mammalia; Primates; Hominidae
Description: HSALNT0307618
Source: RNAcentral